This 490-nucleotide ribosomal RNA is filed under the name uncultured Polaromonas sp. RNAcentral's name for it is "bacterial SSU rRNA". It matches the Rfam family "Bacterial small subunit ribosomal RNA", at positions 91 to 575 of the family's 1533-position model. The record is from RNAcentral. Lineage: Bacteria; Pseudomonadati; Pseudomonadota; Betaproteobacteria; Burkholderiales; Comamonadaceae.
GAGAGUGGCGAACGGGUGAGUAAUAUAUCGGAACGUGCCCAGUCGUGGGGGAUAACGUAUAGAAAUUUACGCUAAUACCGCAUACGAUCUACGGAUGAAAGCGGGGGAUUCGCAAGAACCUCGCGCGAUUGGAGCGGCUGAUAUCAGAUUAGGUUGUUGGUGAGGUAAAAGCUCACCAAGCCGACGAUCUGUAGCUGGUUUGAGAGAACGACCAGCCACACUGGGACUGAGACACGGCCCAUACUCCUACGGGAGGCAGCAGUGGGGAAUUUUGGACAAUGGGCGAAAGCCUGAUCCAGCAAUGCCGCGUGUGGGAAGAAGGCCUUCGGGUUGUAAACCACUUUUGUACGGAACGAAACGGUUCGCUUUAAUACAGUGGGCUAAUGACGGUACCGUAAGAAUAAGCACCGGCUAACUACGUGCCAGCAGCCGCGGUAAUACGUAGGGUGCGAGCGUUAAUCGGAAUUACUGGGCGUAAAGCGUGCGCAGG